UUAGGAAAAGUGUAUAGAUUGGAAAAAAACAUAAUCUUAAUUACGAUUGUGCCAUCUCUUUGAAUAAGGAAGAGCGAGCCCUAGGAAAGGGAGUAAGAGAAUACGAUGAAGAUUGAGAGAGCUAGGGGCCGGCCACAGAUCCUUACCGUGGAUUCACGGUGGCGCACAGGCAGUAACAUCACAACCUAGCUUGUAUACUACAACAACUCACUAACCGGAAUCGAGGGUUCUUCAGUUCUACCCAUGGCUCCUCUGUUUUUUUUUUCUUCUUUUCACAUCAGUGCUUCACCAGUGCUUUUCUUUUGUUGUCCAAGAGGGAUUUCAUAUUUCAUAUUUCAUGAAGGUACUGAUUGAUGAAAAUCAAAAUCAUCCUCGCGUUUGAGGAAUAGAGGGAAUGACGAAGUACACCGGCCUUAAAGGAAGUCUGACUGCCGACUUCCGGGCGCGCCACACCCGUAGACCCUGCGAAUAUGUGCACAUUUUUGGGAUAUAGUCAAGCUUGAACGCGCUCCAAUUGCAAAUGCAAAUGUGAAUGCAAGUUCAACAACAUCAAAUGCAACAAAUGCCACGGAUUCAACCAUACCAAUAAGUCGAGCAUGAUUUUGUUUCUCUUAACCAGGACAAUGAAGAGGAAAUUGCUCUGAAAUCCACCCACAAAUGUUAAAGAACAAAAUGGGGGAAACAGGCACAAGAAGAAACGAGCAACAAAGCAAACCUUGGACCCCGAUCGAAUGGAAGCGUUAGCAUGAGCGUGGUGUAAUGAUUCUCUAGAUCCAAUAAAAAGGGUUAUUUUUUUUUCAACUAUAUACAUUAGUAUUUUAUUCACUAUAUUUAUUAUUAUGUUUAACUAAAUACAUUAUUAUUAUUAUUAUUAUUAUUAUUAUUAUUAUUAUUAUUAUUAUUAUUAUUAUUAUUAUUAUUAUUAACUUGAAAAUUUCUAACGACUAAUUAUUUUUCACAUGAUAUUGUAGCUAAUAAUCAAACGAGUGAUGGUUUCUGAAAUAAUGUUAUGGAUCAAUUUCAUGCCUCGAUGCAACAAAAUUCUUACUUUUCCAUUUCAUUAGCUCGAAAUUUAAAGACAUGAACAAGAAAGUUAUUUUUCCCGUUACUACAACGUGAUAUGCUACUUAGUAACUUUUAACGAAUUUAAGGAAAUACAAGUGUAGAGGUAGCGGAAGAAAGAACAUGAAAAGCAAGAAGCCACAAAUAGGGAAAUAGCGAGGGUUCUGUGGAUCGAAAACGAGAGCAAGAAGCCACAAAAGCAAGAAAGAACAUUAAAAACUUUAUUUUGAUUUUUCAGUUUAAUAAAAAAUAAAUUAAAUGGAUUAUACAUUAAAAAAAAAAAAAAACUGGAAAGGAACCACACCACUUGAUGGAGAAGGAGGGAAAUAAAGGGUGGAAGGGAAUGAUGACGUGCCGUUGAGUUAGAGGAUGUGAAUGAUGGGGGAGUAGUUACAACUUACAACACGCUUUAACCCUAGGGGCUUGAAGAUCAAGUAGCAAUCGAGAAGAGCGAAAAGCCAACAUUCUUACUAAGCCACUCGCAAGAAUCAAGUAUAUGGAAAUGUGGGUGUUGCUUGGAGCUAAAGACCUUCCUAAAUCCUAAAUCGAGUUGGAAAUUAGGGGGUGAUUGUUGGUCUAAUUAACCAACUUGAGCUUAUGGGCGGUGGGUCCAUACCCGAGCACAUGGGAUGGCCAAGAAUAUAGGAACCGAUUAAAGCAAGUUAAUUAGUUUCCUAUUUAUCUAUUUGUUUUAAAGAUAAUUAUAGAGAGUUAUUUUGUAAUUAUAUGGUAGUUUUAGAAUCCUAGUUG
Molecule: long non-coding RNA, 1812 nt
Filed under: Helianthus annuus (common sunflower)
Lineage: Eukaryota; Viridiplantae; Streptophyta; Magnoliopsida; Asterales; Asteraceae
Description: sRNA HanXRQr2_Chr17g0792771
Source: RNAcentral